AUUGAACGCUGGCGGCGUGCUUAACACAUGCAAGUCGUGCGGUAACAGGCGUAGCAAUACGUGCUGACGAGCGGCGAACGGGUGCGUAAUACAUGGGAAUCUGCCCUUUAGUGGGGAAUAACCCGGCGAAAGCCGGGCUAAUGCCGCAUAAGAUCUUCGGAUGAAAGCGGGGGAUCGUAAGACCUCGCGCUGAUGGAUGAGCCCAUGUCGGAUUAGCUAGNGGUGAGGUAAAGGCUCACCAAGGCGACGAUCCGUAGCUGGUCUGAGAGGACGGCCAGCCACACUGGGACUGAGACACGGCCCAGACUCCUACGGGAGGCAGCAGGU
Molecule: ribosomal RNA, 327 nt
Filed under: uncultured bacterium
Lineage: Bacteria
Description: bacterial SSU rRNA
Rfam family: Bacterial small subunit ribosomal RNA
Source: RNAcentral